This 253-nucleotide ribosomal RNA is filed under the name uncultured bacterium. RNAcentral's name for it is "partial 16S ribosomal RNA". It matches the Rfam family "Bacterial small subunit ribosomal RNA", at positions 524 to 776 of the family's 1533-position model. The record is from RNAcentral.
UACGAAGGGGGGUAGCGUUGUUCGGAUUUACUGGGCGUAAAGCGCACGUAGGCGGAUUGUUAAGUCGGGGGUGAAAUCCUGGAGCUCAACUUCAGAAUUGCCUUCGAUACUGGCUUUCUAGAGGCUGGAAGAGGUUAGUGGAAUUCCCAGUGUAGAGGUGAAAUUCGUAGAUAUUGGGAAGAACACCAGUGGCGAAGGCGGCUAACUGGUCCAGAUCUGACGCUGAGGUGCGAAAGCGUGGGGAGCAAACAGG